Molecule: ribosomal RNA, 502 nt
Filed under: uncultured bacterium
Lineage: Bacteria
Description: partial 16S ribosomal RNA
Rfam family: Bacterial small subunit ribosomal RNA
Source: RNAcentral
AUUGAACGCUGGCGGCAGGCUUAACACAUGCAAGUCGAGCGGGGUGAUGGUGCUUGCACUAUCACUUAGCGGCGGACGGGUGAGUAAUGCUUAGGAAUCUGCCUAUUAGUGGGGGACAACAUCUCGAAAGGGAUGCUAAUACUGCAUACGUCCUACGGGAGAAAGCAGGGGAUCACUUGUGACCUUGCGCUAAUAGAUGAGCCUAAGUCGGAUAGCUAGUUGGUGGGGUAAAGGCCUACCAAGGCGACGAUCUGUAGCGGGUCUGAGAGGAUGAUCCGCCACACUGGGACUGAGACACGGCCCAGACUCCUACGGGAGGCAGCAGUGGGGAAUAUUGGACAAUGGGGGGAACCCUGAUCCAGCCGUGCCGCGUGUGUGAAGAAGGCCUUAUGGUUGUAAAGCACUUUAAGCGAGGAGGAGGCUCUUUUGGUUAAUACCCAAGAUGAGUGGACGUUACUCGCAGAAUAAGCACCGGCUAACUCUGUGCCAGCAGCCGCCGAAA